RNAcentral lists this transfer RNA (74 nucleotides) under Pectobacterium phage My1. It matches the Rfam family "tRNA". Rfam says of the family: Transfer RNA (tRNA) molecules are approximately 80 nucleotides in length. Their secondary structure includes four short double-helical elements and three loops (D, anti-codon, and T loops). The record is from Rfam by way of RNAcentral. Lineage: Duplodnaviria; Heunggongvirae; Uroviricota; Caudoviricetes; Demerecviridae.
GGAUUGUUAGCCAAAUGGUUUAAGGCACCGGACUUUUAAUCCGGGGAUUGAAGGUUCGAGUCCUUCACAGUCCA